AGAACGAACGCUGGCGGCAUGCCUAAUACAUGCAAGUCGAACGAACUCUUCGGAGUUAGUGGCGCACGGGUGCGUAACGCGUGGGAAUCUGCCCUUGGGUUCGGAAUAACAGUUGGAAACGACUGCUAAUACCGGAUGAUGACGAAAGUCCAAAGA
Molecule: ribosomal RNA, 156 nt
Filed under: uncultured soil bacterium
Lineage: Bacteria
Description: partial 16S ribosomal RNA
Rfam family: Bacterial small subunit ribosomal RNA
Source: RNAcentral